Molecule: unclassified non-coding RNA, 46 nt
Filed under: Sorangium cellulosum So ce56
Lineage: Bacteria; Pseudomonadati; Myxococcota; Polyangiales; Polyangiaceae
Description: sce_s2m_10
Source: RNAcentral
CUGUGCUGGAGCUCUCGAUCUCGCGCCGCGGUAGGCCUGGGCACAU